CCUCCUGCCUCAGCCUCCCAAGUAGCUGGGACUAUAGACCCAUGGAGAAGAGACAAAUAGAGUAUGCAGGGGAAAGAAGACAAGGACCAAGAUUAUUUUUAAAUCACUCAUUGAUGGAAAAGCAUUUCAGCAGGACUGUCGAUUUUAUGGCCCCCGUGCCUGCCACACUCCUCUAAUUUUUACAGAGGCACCAAUAUCUCUCCAGAUUUCAGGAUGACCAUUUGUCCUAUGACUUUAGCUUUCUGAUGUGUUCACAGAAAGUCAUCAAUAUGCUGCCUGUCCAGCUUUUUUCUUGUUGCAAGUAUGAGAGCUACAGUUCUGAGCUGAAACUACAAGCCACUGUCAGCUUUUCACCAACACCUAAACCACAGUGAGUAAAAGAAGGCAUGAAACUUGACAAAGUAUUCGUGGCUCAGAAAAAAGUCCAAUGAAGAAGCUGUUGUCUUCCUGGAUGGUGAAGGUCGUGCUUCUGGUGUUUAUCUUUCAUAACAUCUUGCAUUCAAAACUCCAUCUCAGCAUCUGCUUCCAGAGAACCUGGGCUGCAACAACAGGAAAAAUGAGAGGCUUAUUUUCUGAGAGGAAGAAUUAACUUCAUUAGGAUCUGAAUUUCCUACAGUCCUUGGUCUCACAGAAAGUGACGCUGCUACCACCCGUGAGACUGCAGAUCCGUCAAAUGCCAAGGGUCUUUAUAAGAGACAAAAGAGACACACAUGGAGGAGAAGGUGAUGUGAAGACAGAGGCAGAGAUUGGAGUGAUGUGGUCACGAGCCAAGGAAUGCCAACAUCUAUCAGAAGCUGGAAGAGGCAAGGAAGGAUUCUCCCGUAGAACUUCUAUGGUAGCAUUUCCCUGCUGACAUCUUAAUUUUGGAUUUUUGUCUCCAGAACUGUGAGUAAAUAAAUUUCUUUUAGCCUCCAUGUUUGUGGUAAUGUCAGAUUUCAGUCUGACCUGAACCAAGGGGUUCUUGGCAUGCCCAUGGCUGAAGAAUGACCAGACAUGCCAAAGUUCGGCAAGCGUGAAAAAAAGGUUUAUUGAGGAGAGAAAGAUAGGAUUAUAGGGCAAGAGCAAGAUAUAGGUUUACAGAGCAUGGUACAUAUUGCCAUGAAUGAUGACCAGGCCCAUUGUUGCACCAGGGCAAGCAAAUGGAAGGGCAAAGAGAGAGGUUGGCUAUGGUCUGCAUCCUAUUUUAUAGUGUCUGGAUAGGGACCUCCCUUGUGGUUCAGAAGUCACCAUGGAACCACUUUAAUUAGGAUGUGCCUAAUGGGGGUCACAUGACCUGAGCCUUAAC
Microcebus murinus (gray mouse lemur) is the source of this 1285-nucleotide long non-coding RNA. RefSeq lists it as uncharacterized. NCBI's taxonomy places the organism in Eukaryota, Metazoa, Chordata, Mammalia, Primates, Cheirogaleidae. The record is from RefSeq and is a predicted model, not a curated record.